CACGAAGGGUGGUGCCUGGGCUGCGGAGUCCUCCAGUGAUAUCGGUCAGGUCUGGUAACCCCGCGCGACUCUGGCCCCCAUGGCACUGAAGCCGCUCGCCCCGCUCCUGCGCGGUUACCACGUGGUCCUGGCGAGCGCUUCGCCAAGGCGGAGGGAGAUCCUCGACCUGGCGGGCGUGGUUUUCGACGUCAUCCCCUCGCACUUCUCGGAGGUCCCGCCCCCGGAGCACCUGCUCCGCCCUCAGGACUUGGUGAUUGCAAAUGCCAAAGGGAAAGCCUUGGACGUCGGAAUGCGCCUAAGCCAGAUGAUGGCGGGGUUUCAGGCUGUUCUGUGUUACGGGUGGGGCUCCUGGUCAGGUGGAGGAGUUUCCUGGUAAGAGGCAGAGAUUUGAGGCCAGGGGAGUGGAUUCUGAUUGUGGGCGUGGCUUCACCUUAAGGCCCUGGACUUCCCUUUCCUGGCUCUGCCCACCUCUUCCUGCUUGGUAGGCAGAGCUUCCCAUUUUGGGGUUGGAUUUUCCCUGUCAGGGGCGGGGUUUGCCCGCCCAUCACUCAACCAUGACCCUGCCCACCAACCCCAGGCUGACCCGGAGACCCAGCACCUCAUCAUUGGAGCGGACACCAUUGUGGCCAUGGAGGGGCAGAUCAUGGGGAAGCCCUGCGACCGUGAAGAUGCACUCCGGAUGUUAACCAGGUGGGCGGGGCCUCCCCGGGUGCGUGGCCAAACCCUGACCCCAGGCACUUACCCUACACCUGCUGGGCCCCACCCCCAGGCUGAACGGUCGUGAGCACAGUGUCAUCACCGGUGUCGCCAUCAUCCUUACGGGUGGAGCAGGCACCCGUGACGCAGAGGUGGUGGUGGUCUUCCACGAGGAGACGCUGGUGACAUUCUCGAAGCUGUCAGAUGAGCUUGUGCAGGAGCAUGUGGAGGGCGGGGAGCCCUGGGACAAGGCGGGGGGCUACGGGCUGCAGGCGCGGGGCGGAGCGAUAAUGGCAGAGGCCGUGCGGGGUGACCCCCUCAAUGCAGCGGGGCUCCCUCUCAACCGGCUCUGCCGCGAGCUGGGGCGCCGGCUGCUGCCUUCGGGACCAGGACAGGAAGUGGAGUCGCAGACAUGAAGUUAUGUCAUCACAGCCGAAGUGACAGGAAGUAAUGUUACAAACAGGACCCCUGUGUGACCGCCCCCCCCCCCAACCGCCACCCGGGUCAUGGUGUAAUAAAGGUCGAUAAGGUGGACAGAGUUUC
Molecule: long non-coding RNA, 1239 nt
Filed under: Rattus norvegicus (Norway rat)
Lineage: Eukaryota; Metazoa; Chordata; Mammalia; Rodentia; Muridae
Description: long non-coding RNA NONRATT007339
Source: RNAcentral